RNAcentral lists this ribosomal RNA (465 nucleotides) under Vreelandella stevensii. Its description in RNAcentral is "partial 16S ribosomal RNA". It matches the Rfam family "Bacterial small subunit ribosomal RNA", at positions 338 to 795 of the family's 1533-position model. The record is from RNAcentral. Lineage: Bacteria; Pseudomonadati; Pseudomonadota; Gammaproteobacteria; Oceanospirillales; Halomonadaceae.
CCUACGGGUGGCUGCAGUGGGGAAUAUUGGACAAUGGGGGCAACCCUGAUCCAGCCAUGCCGCGUGUGUGAAGAAGGCCCUCGGGUUGUAAAGCACUUUCAGUGAGGAAGAACGCCUGGUGGUUAAUACCCAUCAGGAAAGACAUCACUCACAGAAGAAGCACCGGCUAACUCCGUGCCAGCAGCCGCGGUAAUACGGAGGGUGCGAGCGUUAAUCGGAAUUACUGGGCGUAAAGCGCGCGUAGGUGGCUUGAUAAGCCGGUUGUGAAAGCCCCGGGCUCAACCUGGGAACGGCAUCCGGAACUGUCAAGCUAGAGUGCAGGAGAGGAAUGUAGAAUUCCCGGUGUAGCGGUGAAAUGCGUAGAGAUCGGGAGGAAUACCAGUGGCGAAGGCGGCCUUCUGGACUGACACUGACACUGAGGUGCGAAAGCGUGGGUAGCAAACAGGAUUAGAUACCCUAGUAGUC